Molecule: non-coding RNA, 2180 nt
Organism: Cajanus cajan (pigeon pea)
Lineage: Eukaryota; Viridiplantae; Streptophyta; Magnoliopsida; Fabales; Fabaceae
Source: RefSeq, a predicted model, not a curated record
UCAUGAGUAAUUUAAAAAAUGGUCCUCCCAAUUGCACAUAGCAUUGAUUUUCAUCAACUUCCCCCCUCUAACCCACUUGAAAGCACCGUUCUACCACCUCUCAGUUCAACCAUCCUUUGCAUCUAAGCCUCCAAUCCCUCUCUCUCUCUCUCUCUCUCUCUCUCUCUCUCAAAGGACAAUCAUUAUAUCACAAAGUUCUUGACUUUCACAGAGCCAAAAAGAUUGGAGUGAGAAGGCAUUAGGCUAGAAGAGGAAAAAAGAAAGUGUCAUUUUUUGAGACAAGAAGCACACACCCAUUGUUGAGUGUGAAAUCAUGGGUUGCUCAGCCUCAAGAACCAUCACCAUAGUGGCGAACAGUAACCAAGAGGAUCCUUCUCCUUCUGCUUCUCUUACUUCUUCUUUCUCCUCUUCUUCUGCUUCACACAAUUUUAAUUCUUCACCACCAGUUAGAAGAAGAGCACUUUCUCUCCCAAUGCCUCUUGUGCACCACCCUCCCAUCAAAAAGGGUGACACACACCACCUUGUCUCACUCACCUCUACCACCUAUGGCUCACUUCUCCUCAUUGACCAAAAAGACCCCAUCUUGAGCCACAAGGACCAACCCCACCUCAAGGACCAACCCUACCUCACCAAAACCUCAAACCAAGGUGAGCCAGAACAGUCACUGUCCCCAGACUCGGUCAUCAACACUUGGGAACUCAUGGAUGGCUUGGAUGAAGAAGAUGAAGAACAACAACAACAACAACAACAUUCCCUCCACACUACCAAGCCUCCUCUCACUUCCAUUCUAGACAAACCAAGUUCAUGCAGGUACACAGCCUUUGAUGGCUCUGCAAAGAAGAAGCUCCUUGAUUCCUUUGAAUCACUGAAAACUUCGCGAAUGCAAAAGGAAAACUCUUCUUCCACAGAAUCAACAUCAACCAAGAAGCCACUUUGGCAGCACUUGUCUGAGGAAGCUUUGCUUGCCAAGUUGGAUCCAAGUGUGGCUUGGAGUUACAGGAGAGCAUUAUCAUCAAGGCAACUAGGUAGGAACACUCUAUCUAGAGAUGUUAGAUCAAUGGGGUCUAGCCCUUUGAGAUUUCCUUCUUCUUUUACAUUUGGUAACAAUAGUUUGUGCCGUUUGCCUGGCACUGAAGACAGAAUAGUGCUCUAUUGUACUAGCUUGAGAGGGAUCCGAAAGACCUAUGAGGAUUGUUGUUCAGUGAGGAUGAUACUGAGGGGAUUCAGAGUUGCGGUUGAUGAGAGGGACAUCUCAAUGGACUCAUCCUAUAGGAAGGAGUUGCAAGAUGCGCUUGGUGGCAAGGGUUUUACCUUGCCACAGGUGUUUAUCAGAGGAAAGUAUGUGGGAAAUGCUGAGGAAAUGAAACAUCUGAAUGAGUCUGGGGAAUUGGCAAGGCUUUUGGAAGGGUUCCCCACUCAGGAUCCUGGCUUUGUUUGUGACAACUGUGGUGAUGCCAGGUUUGUGCCAUGUCCCAAUUGCAAUGGUAGCAGGAAAGUGUUUCAGAAUGGAGAAGGAGGAUUGAGUAGGUGCCCUCAUUGCAAUGAGAAUGGCUUGAUUAGAUGCCCAGGUUGCUGCUCAUGAUUCAUCAAAAUUAGUCUUAAUUCCUCUUGGUCAGUUACUGAGAUUCAUUUAUGUUCUCUGAAUGACAAAUUCUUCUGAGUCAGCUAGUUACUGAGAUUCAUUUAAGGAAUUGGCUUCUCCGAAAAGAAUGUGAUCUUAUGAAGCAUGUUGAUCAAAUUUCUGACUACACGCUUGAAGAACAUGAUUAUCGACCAACCACAACACCUGAUAAGUGGCUGAGCUAUGAAGCUGUAUAGCGUGUUUUUUUGCGGCAUAAUAUGCACUUAUCAAUGAAGCUGGGCGGUCACUGUUUUCAACAGUGAAACCCAUAGAACAAACUACAAGGCAUUGGUUGAACAACUUGUGCAUCAUGAUUUUUAGCAUAUACAAAUACGAACAGAAGUUGCAAUAUGCGGGUGUUACUGGUUUUGGCGUUGUGUUUCCGUGUUUGUGCUCUUGUCAGUUUCAGCUAAAAUAGAUUGUUUUCAUCAAAGGGUCAGUUUCGUAAGACUGACCCAUCUUGCUGCAAUUGUACAGUCUUCACGUUCACGCCAUUAUUUGUGUCUGCCACUGUGUUUGAUGAAUUUCAGAAAAUAAUUUACUGCAUGCCACGAUGGGU